Lynx canadensis (Canada lynx) is the source of this 314-nucleotide long non-coding RNA. RefSeq lists it as uncharacterized. NCBI's taxonomy places the organism in Eukaryota, Metazoa, Chordata, Mammalia, Carnivora, Felidae. The record is from RefSeq and is a predicted model, not a curated record. The transcript has 2 exons.
UGGCCAACCGAAGGAACUUUCUGCCUCCCUAUAAUUGCUAAGCCCACCUGGGAUGACUGUCAGCAGCUCCUCCGCAUCCUGUUCACUACAGAGGAGCGAGAGAGGAUCCAAUUAGAAGCAAGAAAGCUGGUUCCCGGAGAUGACGGUCGGCCGACAUCUAACCCUGACCUCAUUAAUGCGGCUUUCCCCCUAACCAGACCUCCACAGGACGAAUGGGACUACAACACGCCAGAAGGUAGGGGAAGGCUACUCAUUUAUCGCCAGACUCUGAUGGCGGGUCUCCGGGCUGCAGCUCGCAAGCCCACCAAUUUGGC